AUACGGAGGAUCCAAGCGUUAUCCGGAUUUAUUGGGUUUAAAGGGUGCGUAGGCGGACUGGUAAGUCAGCUGUGAAAGUUUGCGGCUUAACCGUAAAAUUGCAGUUGAUACUGUCAGUCUUGAGUGUGCAUGAGGUGGGCGGAAUUCGUCGUGUAGCGGUGAAAUGCUUAGAUAUGACGAAGAACUCCGAUCGCGAAGGCAGCUUGCCGGGCCGCAACUGACGCUGAAGCUCGAAGGUGCGGGUAUCGAACAGGAUUAGAUACCCUGGUAGUCCGCACAGUAAACGAUGGAUACUCGCUGUCGGAGAUAUACGGUAGGUGGCCAAGCGAAAGC
RNAcentral lists this ribosomal RNA (333 nucleotides) under uncultured bacterium. RNAcentral's name for it is "partial 16S ribosomal RNA". It matches the Rfam family "Bacterial small subunit ribosomal RNA", at positions 523 to 858 of the family's 1533-position model. The record is from RNAcentral.